GACGAACGCUGGCGGCGUGCUUAACACAUGCAAGUCGAACGGAAAGGCUCCAGCUUGCUGGAGUUCUCGAGUGGCGAACGUGUGAGUAACACGUGUGUGAUCUGCCCUGCACUUCGGUAUAAGCCUGGGAAACUGGUUCUAAUACCGUAUAGGACCGCACUUUGGUGUGUGUGGUGGAAAUGUUUUUCUGGUGUGGGAUGAGCUCGCGGCCUAUCCGUUUGUUGGUGGGGUUAUGGCCUACCAAGACGGUGACGGGUAUCCUGCCUGGGAUGGUGGACGGUCAGAUUGGGAAUGGGAGAAGGCAGAGAGUCCGAAGGGAGGAAGAAGGGGGGAAUAAUGAACAAGGGGGGAAACGCGGAUGAAGCGAGGCGGCGGGGGGGAUGAAGGGCUUCGGGUUGUAAAAAACAUGCGCGAGGGAAGAAGCUUUGUGUGACGGUACCUGGAGAAGAAGCACCGGCUAACUACGUG
RNAcentral lists this ribosomal RNA (468 nucleotides) under uncultured bacterium. RNAcentral describes it as "partial 16S ribosomal RNA". It matches the Rfam family "Bacterial small subunit ribosomal RNA", at positions 28 to 507 of the family's 1533-position model. The record is from RNAcentral.